AGCUUUGCGCAGUGGUGAUAUUGUAACCAGUGAGGUUCAUCCGAGAUGCGAUUAUUGCUAGUUGAAAUAAUAUUAAAAUAUUUUUUUCUACAUAGUAUUCCUAUAGUAUAUUUCUAAAU
Small nuclear RNA from Melanaphis sacchari, 119 nucleotides. RefSeq annotates it as U4 spliceosomal RNA. NCBI's taxonomy places the organism in Eukaryota, Metazoa, Arthropoda, Insecta, Hemiptera, Aphididae. The record is from RefSeq and is a predicted model, not a curated record. The transcript has a single exon.